Erpetoichthys calabaricus (reedfish) is the source of this 613-nucleotide long non-coding RNA. RefSeq lists it as uncharacterized. Lineage: Eukaryota; Metazoa; Chordata; Cladistia; Polypteriformes; Polypteridae. The transcript has 2 exons. The record is from RefSeq and is a predicted model, not a curated record.
UAAUAAUAAUGAUACAUUUUAUUUUAAGGUGCCUUUCUAAACACCAAAGGACACUGUACAGAUAAUAAAAUCAUAAAACCAACAAAAACAUGCAUGUAGACAAACACAUACAGUUGUGCUUGAAAGUGUGUGAACCCUUUAGAAUUUUCUAUAUUUCUGCAUAAAUAUGACCUAAAACAUCAUCAGAUUUUCACUCAAGUCCUAAAAGUAGAGAAAGAGAAACCAGUUAAACAAAUGAGACAAAAAUAUUAUACUUGGUCAUUUAUUUAUUAAGGAAAAUGAUUGAAUAUUACAUAUUUGUGAGUGGCAAAAGUAUGUGAACCUUUGCUUUCAGUAUCUGGUGUGACCUCCCUUUGAAGCAAUAACUGCAACUAAACGUUUCCGGUAACUGUUGAUCAGUCCUGCACACCGGCUUGGAGGAAUUUUCGCCCAUUCCUCCGUACAGAACAGCUUCAACUCUGGGAUGUUGGUGGGUUUCCUCACAUUAACUGCUCACUUCAGGUCCUUCCACAACAUUUCGAUUGGAUUAAGGUCAGGACUUUGACUUGGCCAUUCCAAAACAUUCACUUUAUUCUUCUUUAACCAUUCUUUGGUAGAACGACUUGUGUGCUUA